Molecule: ribosomal RNA, 465 nt
Filed under: uncultured bacterium
Lineage: Bacteria
Description: bacterial SSU rRNA
Rfam family: Bacterial small subunit ribosomal RNA
Source: RNAcentral
AGCGAACGUUUGCGGCGGGCCUAACACAUGCAAGUCGAACGCACUAGCAAUAGUGAGUGGCGCACGGGUGCGUAACACGUGGGUAAUCAACCCUUCAGCCUGGGAUAACGACUCGAAAGGGUCGCUAAUACCGGAUACGGCGCGAGAGGCUUCGGCUUCUCACGAGAAAGCCACGCAAGGGGCACUGGAGGACGAGCCUGCGGCCCAUCAGCUAGUUGGUGAGGUAAGAGCUCACCAAGGCUAAGACGGGUAGCUGGUCUGAGAGGAUGAUCAGCCACACUGGAACUGAGACACGGUCCAGACUCCUACGGGAGGCAGCAGUGGGGAAUAUUGCGCAAUGGGCGAAAGCCUGACGCAGCCACGCCGCGUGAGCGAUGAAGGCCUUCGGUCGUAAGACUCUGUGGGAGAGACGAAGAAAGACCUGUGAAGAGCAGGCCUGACGGUAUCUCCUUAGCAAGCACCGGC